AGGAAGUAGUUGUCUGUUACGCGGCGUUCGGUAGACAUUGGUGCGAUUUGCUCUGUUUUCCAUGGCGGGAGCCUCAUCACCGGCGAGUUUGAGAGCCUCUCGUAGCCGUCGGCACGGGAAGGAUACGGUUCGAUCCGAUCUCUUCAAAAACGCUACAAUUCCUUUCGUAUUCGCGCUAAUUCUCGCUGAUGCAAUCCUCGUCGCACUUAUCAUCGCUUAUGUUCCAUACACGAAGAUCGAUUGGGAUGCUUACAUGUCACAGGUUAGUGGGUUUCUCGGGGGAGAGAGAGACUAUGGGAACCUGAAAGGUGAUACAGGGCCAUUGGUUUACCCGGCCGGUUUCCUCUAUGUUUACUCUGCAGUGCAGAGCUUAACUGGAGGGCAAGUCUACCCAGCUCAGAUUCUUUUUGGUGUUCUCUACAUUGUCAAUCUGGCUAUCGUCCUCUUCAUCUAUGUCAAGACUGAUGUGGUGCCAUGGUGGGCGCUAAGUCUACUAUGUUUAUCCAAGAGAAUACAUUCAAUCUUUGUUCUCCGUCUCUUUAAUGAUUGUUUUGCCAUGACUCUCCUACAUGCGUCUGUGGCUCUCUUUCUCUGUCGUAAAUGGCACCUCGGGAUGGUUGUUUUCAGUGGAGCUGUUUCGAUAAAGAUGAAUGUACUUUUGUAUGCUCCACCUUUGUUACUUCUGCUACUAAAGGCCAUGAAUAUAGUUGGAGUGGUGUCCGCUUUAGCUGGUGCAGCUCUUGUUCAGAUACUCGUGGGAUUGCCCUUUCUGAUCACAUAUCCGGUUUCAUACAUAACAAACGCUUUUGAUCUUGGGCGUGUUUUUAUUCACUUCUGGUCUGUUAACUUCAAAUUUGUACCAGAACGACUUUUUGUGUCCAAAGAGUUUGCAGUAUGCUUGCUCGUUGUUCAACUUUGUCUUCUUGCCGCGUUUGCGAAUUAUAAAUGGUGCAAGCAUGAAGGCGGGAUAAUAGGCUUCAUGCGUUCUAGGCAUUUUUUCUUGACGCUUCCGUCUUCACUCUCGUUCAGUGAUGCCUCAACCUCAGGGAUUCCUACGAAAGAACAUAUUGUCACGGCCAUGUUUGUUGGGAAUUUCAUUGGAAUUGUAUGUGCUCGCUCUCUGCACUACCAGUUCUACUCAUGGUACUUCUAUUCGCUGCCUUAUCUGCUAUGGAAAACACUGUUUCCCACUUGGCUACGGUUGGUCUUGUUCGUUGGUAUAGAGCUCUGUUGGAACGUGUAUCCAUCAACACCAGCCUCCUCGGGUUUGCUAAUGUGUCUACACUUAACCACCCUAAUGGGUCUCUGGUUUGCUCCUUCAGACAAUCCUUACCAAGUCAAAGAAGACAAAAACUCCCAAAGACACAAAAAGCAUAUUUCUGCAAAUCUUGGUCUAUUAAAACAUGUCUUUUCAGUACGAAAUGUCUUAAAAAAAAAAAACACUACAAGCCGCGCGUGAUAUUCUUGUCGUUCCCAUCUCAAUCUUCUUCUCCUUGGCGGACCCUGUUUCCAAUAGCUAACAAUGGUGGUGAGCUAACAAUGAUGGUGACUGGUAAGUCCAAUCCAAUGUGGGAGUGGAUUGGAUCAAGCUGAAUCUAGAGGAAGCUAAUUAAAAGCGACCAUAUAAAGAUCUCCAAAGCUCACUAAGGACUCGAGUUUUUCAAUUGUAGUUACAUUUAUGGUCUGGUGACGCUUCUACUAAAUAUUGGUAGAGAAGUAUCUUUGUUAAAACAUUGGUUGGUGGUGGCAAUGGAAGUUUGACGCCGAAAAUAGAAAGGCAUGAGCUCUUUUUCGUAGGGCUUUGCUUCACCUUGUCUAUCUGUUUUAAUUUCUUCUACUUAUACCAUGAGCCAUCUUCAUUUCCUUUUCUUUCUGUUAAUAAAUAAGAUAAGACUCGGUGAUAACAUAGUCUUGAUACAUAUGACAUUCAGUGUUGUUCUGCAUCCAUUUAAUCUAAAGUUGCCUUACAUAGACAACUUCUUGUUACAA
This is an RNA transcript of Camelina sativa (false flax), 1989 nucleotides long. It is a transcript of the gene named dol-P-Man:Man(5)GlcNAc(2)-PP-Dol alpha-1,3-mannosyltransferase, with no coding region annotated. The record is from RefSeq and is a predicted model, not a curated record. Lineage: Eukaryota; Viridiplantae; Streptophyta; Magnoliopsida; Brassicales; Brassicaceae.